GAACUCAGAGAUCUGCCUGUCUCUUCUGCUGAUUCAAUGUUGUGCCCAAGCCGACAAGUGAUGAUCUGAUUAUUUCUCCCAUGCAUAACACACCCACUCUAACCUUGCCCCCUUUCCCAAGUUACUCUUCCCUUAUAGAAGAAUGCUCACAUGAUGUCGUGGGUGGCGGGGUAGAUUUAAGUCAGCCGGAAGAGUGCUUGUGAGCUUCAAGUUCGAGCCCCAGAGCUGCAUAAAUGUACCAUGGUGGUGCUGGCACACAAGACCACCAGUUAGGAGACAGAUGGGGGAGGAACAGAAGAGCUCAAGGUCCAUCCUCGGGUACAAUAGCAAGUUUGAGACCAGCCUGAUCUACAGAUGAGAUACUGUCUCAAAAGUCAAUGAAAGAGAUGGUCUGCCCUCGUCAUCCAGACCUGCCCCUCCCCCACUCUAGCUCUCCCCCCUCCGCUUUUGGCUCUGGACAGUUCGGUUCCAGUCACUCUGUGCGUAACAUCCUUUCCGGUGUCACCAAUGGUACUGCCUUGAUGCUGAUUCCAGAGGUCGAUUCGCUUUUAUUGACCUAGGUUUGAUAACUGCGUGUUUUGUUUUGCUUCCUUUUGUAGAGGUAGAGUUACACUAUGAACCCACACGGUCCUUAAACUCCUGAAUCUCCCGCCUUAGUCUCCUCCGCAUCCUAAGAUCAAAGCACACCUUUUUUUAAUGGAUGUGAAGUCUACCUUAUGUUAUAAGCAAACACUAUUUAUUUUAUAUGAGGGACCUGAACAUUCCUGCAUUUUGGUGCCUUUGAGGGUGCUUUACAGACGGAGCCUUUCCCCGGCCUCUCUUCCUCCCUCCUUCCCUCCCUCCCUACUUCCCUUCCUUCCUCCCUCCCUCCCAACCCUCUCACUUUCUUUCAUUCUCUCGGUCUUCAUUUUUAACUAUUUGUAUGACACGUGCUUGCGGAGGUCAAAGGACAACCUCCGGUGUCAGCCCUCCACUUCCUCCCUACGGAAGACAGAGUCUUUAAUUGCACUAGAGCUGAAUUCUUCAGGAUUCCGGUGUAUGCUGAAGACCAGCUGAGACAUCCAGCCUUGCGGAGUGAACCACUACUGGAUUCUUGGCUCUUCUGUUGUUUAUGGAGGCAUGGUCUCAUGGAGUCUAGGUUGGCCUUUAACUCACUACGCAAUGAAGGUGAACUUGAGCUGGAGCCUUCCUGCCCUCCUCCACAGCUAAGAUUAAGAGGCUGUGUAUGCACACACGUGUGCCGUGACACACCCUUGGAGAUGAGAGGACAACAGGCUGAGGCCCAGGAGAUGGUACUCAGGUAGGUGUCUGGCUUGGUGGCCUUCAUUGCCUAGUUGUCUCAGUAGCCUAAAUGUGCACUUAGGGAGGGCCAUACCAGGCUGGAUGCGGAGCGAUCAGAGAACUUCGGGGAGUCAACUCUUGGCUGAACUGUAAUGACUGAUGUAAGGUACAUUUGAGGGUAAGGGUAAAAUUAUUGUAGAUUGAGGGAGAGUACAGCCAGGGGCAUCUGCAAAAGGACUGAACCAGUCCAUGAGAGAAGAGAGGUGUGUGUGUGUGUGUGUGUGUGUGUGUGUGUGUGUGUGUGUGUGUGUGUGCAAGAGAGACACGAGAACCAAGAGACAGAUACUCAGUAGAAGGGCCAAGAGAGCACAAGGCUGAAACAGCUGGGUUGUAUAGGGAAAGCAGCAGAGGGAUUUGGGCUUAGCUCAGGGUGAGUGCCAGGAGUAUGGAGGGGCCUUCUGUGGGAGACUUAGGCGAGGCUCAGUACGAUGAAGGCUUUCCUCCACGGUGGUCCUUGAGGAGACAGUCCUUGCUUGUUCAAACUGUUUGUUCAUGGUGGAAAUGGAUGCAUACAACUUAGUCAGGGUGAACUAAAGAUUACAUACCCU
Mus musculus (house mouse) is the source of this 1889-nucleotide long non-coding RNA. RefSeq annotates it as predicted gene, 33304. The record is from RefSeq and is a predicted model, not a curated record. Lineage: Eukaryota; Metazoa; Chordata; Mammalia; Rodentia; Muridae. The transcript has 4 exons.